Molecule: ribosomal RNA, 793 nt
Filed under: uncultured bacterium
Lineage: Bacteria
Description: bacterial SSU rRNA
Rfam family: Bacterial small subunit ribosomal RNA
Source: RNAcentral
UACACAUGCAAGUCGAACGGGUCCUUCGGGACUAGUGGCGGACGGGUGAGUAACGCGUGGGAACGUGCCCUUUGCUUCGGAAUAGCCCCGGGAAACUGGGAGUAAUACCGGAUGUGCCCUUUGGGGGAAAGAUUUAUCGGCAAAGGAUCGGCCCGCGUUGGAUUAGGUAGUUGGUGGGGUAAUGGCCUACCAAGCCGACGAUCCAUAGCUGGUUUGAGAGGAUGAUCAGCCACACUGGGACUGAGACACGGCCCAGACUCCUACGGGAGGCAGCAGUGGGGAAUCUUAGACAAUGGGGGAAACCCUGAUCUAGCCAUGCCGCGUGAUCGAUGAAGGCCUUAGGGUUGUAAAGAUCUUUCAGCUGGGAAGAUAAUGACUGUACCAGCAGAAGAAGCCCCGGCUAACUCCGUGCCAGCAGCCGCGGUAAUACGGAGGGGGCUAGCGUUAUUCGGAAUUACUGGGCGUAAAGCGCACGUAGGCGGAACAGAAAGUCAGAGGUGAAAUCCCAGGGCUCAACCUUGGAACUGCCUUUGAAACUCCUGUUCUUGAGGUCGAGAGAGGUGAGUGGAAUUCCGAGUGUAGAGGUGAAAUUCGUAGAUAUUCGGAGGAACACCAGUGGCGAAGGCGGCUCACUGGCUCGAUACUGACGCUGAGGUGCGAAAGCGUGNGGAGCAAACAGGAUUAGAUACCCUGGUAGCCACGCCGUAACGAUGAAUGCAGUCGUCGGCAGCAUGCUGUUCGUGACCACCUACGAUUAGCAUCCGCUGGGAGUACGCGCAGGUAACUCAAGAUG